Phlebotomus papatasi is the source of this 87-nucleotide non-coding RNA. Lineage: Eukaryota; Metazoa; Arthropoda; Insecta; Diptera; Psychodidae. The record is from Rfam.
AAAGUUUCAUGGCGGAUAAGUGUGUUUCUAGUGCAUAUAACUAAUUUUUAUUAUGACUAGAUUUACACUCAUCCUCUGUGAAAUUCG